Molecule: non-coding RNA, 1028 nt
Organism: Salmo salar (Atlantic salmon)
Lineage: Eukaryota; Metazoa; Chordata; Actinopteri; Salmoniformes; Salmonidae
Source: RefSeq, a predicted model, not a curated record
UAAGAACAAAUUCUAUUUACAAUGACGGCCUCCUGGGGACCAGUGGGUUAACUGCCUUGUUCAGCGGCAGAACAACAGAUUUUUACCUUGUCAACUCUGAGGUCGUCCCAUUGUUUCCGAAAGGGGAAAGUUUUUACCAAUUGUUGGUAGUUAAAACGUAAACCAGUUAUUAUUAUAAUACAGUUUUUAUGGCUUGGUCCUAAGAAGAGGUUUUAGUGGUAAAUUAAAAGGUAGUUUUUUUUGGUGCCAUUUAUGGAAAACUGAAUUGGGUUUGUGGCUGGAUCAGCAGCUCUUCAUCAUGCGGCCGGAGAGACUCAAUACAACAGGGGUCUCUGAUUUCUAUGCUGCAGUACUGAGGGCCUGGCAGCUGCUGAGACCCACACGAGAGGAGGGGGGGUGGUGACUGGGCCGUGGGUCUGGGAGGAACCACUGAUCACUGGGUUUGGUGGACCUGGAGAGCAGGGUGGCAGCGUUCUGACUCAAAGCAGCACAGAGGCUACUGUACCGUACGGAGGUGGGCUUAGCGGGAGGGAAGGGGCAUCAGAGGCAGGGGGUUGUGGGGGCUGAGAGCAUGGCAGGGUAUAGGUGGAGGGUGCUCUAUAAGCUCCCAGUGCUGGAAAGGUCAGGGGUCAUCCAGUGGAGGGUAUUACAUGGAGCCCUGGACACCAAUAGCUGAUUGGCUCGGGUUGACCUGGGAGUUGAGGAGGGGUUGUCCGUUUUCUACAAUGACAGACUGUUCAUCAUGUUUUCUCUGUGUUGCCGGGGUAAUGCCAUUACUGUUUAUUUAAUUUCACCUUUAUUUAACCAGGUAGGCCAGUUGAGAACAAGUCCUUUAUUUAACCAGGUGGGCCAGUUGAGAACAAGUCCUUUAUUUAACCAGGUAGGCUAGUAGAGAACAAGUUCUCAUUUACAACUGCGACCUGGCCAAGAUAAAGCAAAGCAGUGUGAUACAAACAACAACACAGAGUUACACAUGGAAUAAACAAACGUACAGUCAAUAAUACAGUAGAAAAGUCUAUAAACAGUUG